Molecule: long non-coding RNA, 1315 nt
Filed under: Carica papaya (papaya)
Lineage: Eukaryota; Viridiplantae; Streptophyta; Magnoliopsida; Brassicales; Caricaceae
Description: long non-coding RNA (CPAP_LNC014993)
Source: RNAcentral
UUAAAAUACAAUUUAGAAAAAUUGUGUCACGUAGGACGCCUAGUCAGCAGACUCGACGAACCGGAGCGCACCACGUGGCAAGGGACACUGACACAGUACCACGCAGGAGGCCACACUGGUGAUCUGCGUGCCCGUAAUCGGACAAUCCAGAUUUAUUUCUGUGCGCACGGACGGUCCGGAUCCGUUUACUCCUCAGACGCAAUUGGACGGUCACAAUUAAAUGCAAUGAACAAUUCAAAUCUACUUCUUAUUUAAAUACGAUCGGACGACUCAUAUCAAAUUGCGAUGAAUAGUCCAGAUUUACUUUCUAUUUAAACGUGAUCGGACGGUUUAGAUCAAACGCGAUAAACAGCUCAAAGUAAAAGGAGACAUAUAUAAAUGACUCUCUUCACACCAAACUCUAACCCUAGCCACCAGACCCCCCUUCCCCCCGGGAGAAUAAGACUCAGUCGCUGAGAAGGAAGCCAACUACCGCCGCGACCGCGCCGGAGCCAUUUCCAACCGCCAAAAGAGGUAAAAAAAAUUUCAUUUUCUUGAAAUUUGAUUUUAAACACCUUCAUGGCUAAUCAGAGCAAAAGGAUCGACGGAUUGGCCAAAAAUUGCGGGCAAAACUCGAUGACACUACUGCAGAAAAAGAAAAAAUUGCCUCCAAUGAGGGAUGAUAUCUUUGGUAAUUUGGUGCUCAUACCGGACGGGGUACGGGGACGACCUGUUUCACCCUCAUACCGGAUGGGGUAUUGAGGGAUGGUAUUUUUUGGCACUCAUAUUAGACGGAGUAUGAGAACGACCCGUUAAUUGAAAAUGUUAAAAAAUAGUUCACGCGUAGUGGGAAUAUCUCUAUAGACCCCCAUGAAUACCAGUAGGCUGAUAAAAGGGAAGGUUGUUAUUCCGACUGAUUGUAUAUGAAAUUAUGGUAUGUGUUAUGUUAUUGACUCUAUAGGUUGUUUUUGGAAAUCUUGCUACGGUAAGUAUGCAAUAAAUGAUUUUAUUUAUGACAAACGAAUUUACUUAAAUUAAGAGCUCUACUAGUUGUUUUGAUUAUUUCUACAAACUUUCAUUUUUGUGUCGGUGAGUAGUGUGAUAUUCUUACUGGGCUAGUGUAGUUCAUUCUUUCAUUAAUCAUUUUAGAUCAAAAUGACCAGGAUCCAGAGCCCGAUCCGCAAGAAGGUUGCGAGUAGGAUGCCCAGUUGCUUAUUUUUUGUUUAUUUCUUUAAUUUUUUGUUAUUUUUUUAAAAGGAUUAUUUUUAUAAUUCUAUUAGGUAAUCUGAAUUAUUGUGUAAGGAAUGUAAACCCUAACUAUUUAUUUCAUUUCCGC